GCUCUCUCUCCCUCACCUGCACAUGGGAGGAGAGAGCUACCGUAACCAGCCAGACAAACACUUAACGGAAACGAGCUGCAUAUCCAGGCAUAUCAUUCUGUCUUUUUUGACUAUGAUCGAUAUGCCGAAAGAAGAAAUCUGAAACGUGAUACAUUUGCUUUCACUUAUUACAUAACG
Molecule: non-coding RNA, 177 nt
Organism: Caenorhabditis elegans
Lineage: Eukaryota; Metazoa; Nematoda; Chromadorea; Rhabditida; Rhabditidae
Source: Ensembl